UUGAAGAGUUUGAUCAUGGCUCAGAUUGAACGCUGGCGGCAGGCCUAACACAUGCAAGUCGAACGGUAACAGAAAGCAGCUUGCUGCUUUGCUGACGAGUGGCGGACGGGUGAGUAAUGUCUGGGAAACUGCCUGAUGGAGGGGGAUAACUACUGGAAACGGUAGCUAAUACCGCAUAACGUCGCAAGACCAAAGAGGGGGACCUUCGGGCCUCUUGCCAUCGGAUGUGCCCAGAUGGGAUUAGCUAGUAGGUGGGGUAACGGCUCACCUAGGCGACGAUCCCUAGCUGGUCUGAGAGGAUGACCAGCCACACUGGAACUGAGACACGGUCCAGACUCCUACGGGAGGCAGCAGUGGGGAAUAUUGCACAAUGGGCGCAAGCCUGAUGCAGCCAUGCCGCGUGUAUGAAGAAGGCCUUCGGGUUGUAAAGUACUUUCAGCGGGGAGGAAGGGAGUAAAGUUAAUACCUUUGCUCAUUGACGUUACCCGCAGAAGAAGCACCGGCUAACUCCGUGCCAGCAGCCGCGGUAAUACGGAGGGUGCAAGCGUUAAUCGGAAUUACUGGGCGUAAAGCGCACGCAGGCGGUUUGUUAAGUCAGAUGUGAAAUCCCCGGGCUCAACCUGGGAACUGCAUCUGAUACUGGCAAGC
RNAcentral lists this ribosomal RNA (648 nucleotides) under Escherichia coli. RNAcentral describes it as "bacterial SSU rRNA". It matches the Rfam family "Bacterial small subunit ribosomal RNA", at positions 1 to 641 of the family's 1533-position model. Lineage: Bacteria; Pseudomonadati; Pseudomonadota; Gammaproteobacteria; Enterobacterales; Enterobacteriaceae. The record is from RNAcentral.